This is a non-coding RNA of Tribolium castaneum (red flour beetle), 66 nucleotides long. Lineage: Eukaryota; Metazoa; Arthropoda; Insecta; Coleoptera; Tenebrionidae. The record is from the annotation of a RefSeq genome assembly.
AAAAACUUAGUUAAGAAAUAAUAUUAGUUUGUCAAACUAAAGUCAACGUAAACCUGUUAGUUUUUA